GAUGAACGCUCGCGGGAGGCCUAACACAUGCAAGCCGAGCGGGAUUUGUUGGUUAGCUUGCUAACUAACAAUGAGAGCGGCGUACGGGUGCGUAGCACGUGUGCAACCUGCCUUUAUCUGGGGGAUAGCCUUUCGAAAGGAAGAUUAAUACCCCAUAACAUAUUGAUUGGCAUCAGUUAAUAUUGAAAGCUCCGGCGGAUAGAGAUGGGCACGCGUAAGAUUAGCUAGUUGGUGAGGUAACGGCUCACCAAGGCUGCGACCUUUAGGGGGCCUGAGAGGGUGAUCCCCCACACUGGUACUGAGACACGGACCAGACUCCUACGGGAGGCAGCAGUGAGGAAUAUUGGACAAUGGGUGAGAGCCUGAUCCAGCCAUCCCGCGUGAAGGACUAAGGACCUAUGGUUUGUAAACUUCUUUUAUACAGGGAUAAACCUACUCUCGUGAGGGUAGCUGAAGGUACUGUAUGAAUAAGCACCGGCUAACUCCGUG
RNAcentral lists this ribosomal RNA (489 nucleotides) under uncultured bacterium. Its description in RNAcentral is "partial 16S ribosomal RNA". It matches the Rfam family "Bacterial small subunit ribosomal RNA", at positions 28 to 507 of the family's 1533-position model. The record is from RNAcentral.